AUUGAACGCUGGCGGCAGGCCUAACACAUGCAAGUCGAACGGUAACAGGAAGAAGCUUGCUUCUUUGCUGACGAGUGGCGGACGGGUGAGUAAUGUCUGGGAAACUGCCUGAUGGAGGGGGAUAACUACUGGAAACGGUAGCUAAUACCGCAUAACGUCGCAAGACCAAAGAGGGGGACCUUCGGGCCUCUUGCCAUCGGAUGUGCCCAGAUGGGAUUAGCUAGUAGGUGGGGUAACGGCUCACCUAGGCGACGAUCCCUAGCUGGUCUGAGAGGAUGACCAGCCACACUGGAACUGAGACACGGUCCAGCCUCCUACGGGAGGCAGCAGUGGGGAAUAUUGCACAAUGGGCGCAAGCCUGAUGCAGCCAUGCCGCGUGUAUGAAGAAGGCCUUCGGGUUGUAAAGUACUUUCAGCGGGGAGGAAGGGAGUAAAGUUAAUACCUUUGCUCAUUGACGUUACCCGCAGAAGAAGCACCGGCUAACUCCGUG
RNAcentral lists this ribosomal RNA (490 nucleotides) under uncultured bacterium. RNAcentral describes it as "partial 16S ribosomal RNA". It matches the Rfam family "Bacterial small subunit ribosomal RNA", at positions 30 to 507 of the family's 1533-position model. The record is from RNAcentral.